Vicugna pacos (alpaca) is the source of this 861-nucleotide long non-coding RNA. RefSeq lists it as uncharacterized. The record is from RefSeq and is a predicted model, not a curated record. Lineage: Eukaryota; Metazoa; Chordata; Mammalia; Artiodactyla; Camelidae.
GUCGCGGAGGUUGGCUGUGUGUCUUUCCAGGCCUGUCCGCGGCCGGCGAAGGGGAGGGCGCGGGCGCGGGCGCCACAGCUUCUCUGGAUUCUCGGACGCAUGGCUGGAGGGCGGCGGGCGGGUGCGUCCGUGCGGGCCUCGGGGCGGACGCCGUGGUCCAGUGUCCGAGUCUUGGGGCGGAGGCUCGAAGGCGGCGUGCGUCUUUGUCCCGCUGGGCCGGCACCGUCUCAGGAGCCUGAGGUCCCCGAAGGCCGGGACCUCUUUGCCCGGAUUCGCCGCUGGGGAUGAGCAGCCCCGAGAGAUCUGGAUGGCAGACUCACUUCAGGAUUUUGGAGACGGGAGCAGCAUUACUCCCGGAGAUUGCACAUUAGGGGUUGCCAGCAUGUGAUCAGCAACUGAGCACGGGAGCCAGGAGCACCGGCCUGCUCUAGGUGCGUCGUUCAUCUCCCACAUUGUGAGUGGCCCUUGGCAGAGCAGAGCUGGAGAGCUGGCGGCCACACCUCAGCUCUAGAAGAGGCUGUGCUGGAGCAUGGAGGUCCCAAGGACCAGUGGCAGCCAUCAGCUUGGAAUCUGAAAAUCCUGGCUUCAGAGUUUGUAGGAACAAGCUCACUUUGUGCUGAGUAGCGAGGGUGUUCUCUCACCAAUGAGAGAACCAAGAAAUGGAUUUGGCAAGCUUUUCCUGCGGUAGGCUCUUCUGGUGUCAUUAAACUCGUGAGCUUUCUAGUAUUGUCCCUUAACCAAAAGCUUUUGUACUUUGAGAUUGUACAAUUGAGUUUUCUGAACUGGAAAUUUGCUGAACCAUCUCCACGCAGUUACCAUAAUUAAUAAAAGGAUGAUCUUUUUGGUAUUGGUUCUUAAAAA